This 290-nucleotide long non-coding RNA is filed under the name Brachypodium distachyon (stiff brome). Its description in RNAcentral is "long non-coding RNA (BDIS_LNC006007)". The record is from RNAcentral. Lineage: Eukaryota; Viridiplantae; Streptophyta; Magnoliopsida; Poales; Poaceae.
CUCGCUCGAAGCUACCAUGGCCGUCGUUCCCCGCAUUGCGCCGCUGCUGCUCCUCGUGUCCCUCCUCUCCCUAUCUCUCCAACUCGCUCCAUCCGCCGCCUGCCCGACCUGCCCAACUCCGACACCCCCACCCCCUCCCCCACCGCGCAAGCUCAAGCCCCCGCCGCCUCCAUCCUCCGUGCCAUGCCCUCCGCCGCCGUACACCCCGACCCCGGUGACCCCGACGCCGUCGACGCCGACGGGGAAGUGCCCCGUGGACACGCUGAAGCUGGUGGCGUGCGUGGACGCGC